UGAAGUUAACCAUAAAGCCUCAGUUUGUCCCCACUUUAACAACGAAUGGGACAAAUGGGAUAAAUUUUCUGGAUCACCAGAGGAUGAUUAUUCAAGUGCUCACCUGGCCCCAAAGCAGCUCUCCAACACCAAUGAAAAUACACCAGAACCACUGACUCAAGGCCAGAGUCUGUCUAGCUGCACAGAGGCAGAAAGUCACGUAGGAGUUCAGGGGACAGCUUCAGUCCUCCAGAAAUGAACUGGAAGCUGCCAUCCUUCCAUGUACUAGCUACUGUCUUCCACUGAAGAGGAAAGGCUACUUACCUGGAACUACAGCUCUCUGAGGUUUUAUCAUGUCUUUCAUAUCUUCAUCCCCUUUCCCCUUCAUCCAUUUUGUUUACCUGAGAAACAAAGGUUCCUAGCACCACUGUGCAGAAGAUAGGGUUCCGGUAAAUGGCCUCGAAUACAUUCCUCUCACCAUGG
Molecule: long non-coding RNA, 462 nt
Organism: Sceloporus undulatus (fence lizard)
Lineage: Eukaryota; Metazoa; Chordata; Lepidosauria; Squamata; Phrynosomatidae
Exons: 3
Source: RefSeq, a predicted model, not a curated record